RNAcentral lists this small RNA (753 nucleotides) under Histoplasma capsulatum var. duboisii H88. Its description in RNAcentral is "Histoplasma capsulatum H88 hypothetical RNA". Lineage: Eukaryota; Fungi; Ascomycota; Eurotiomycetes; Onygenales; Ajellomycetaceae. The record is from RNAcentral.
CAGGUUUUCCUCAAAUCAACCGUUAUACUCUCGAAAUGUUGAUAUAUGAAUUUAUGCUGCUGCUAGCAUCAUGGCAUUCUGGAUAAAGAGUUUGUACCAGCUCUCAAGACAGCAUCAAGUAAGAUAGGAGUGUCUCUCCACCAUUUGGAAAAGCCUGACUGCGGGUGUCUCCAUGUUGCUUUGGUCCACAUAUGGGCCUAGAAGGAUCACGACGGGCCCCUGAUUCCAAAUGCUCCAUUUCCAGACCACUCCCCUGAUUUCGACUCUGAGAUGUGUUUAUCGCUAUCUCGAGGUGCAGUUUCUUGACGCUUAUCCCCAUUAUAAUGACACUUGAAUAGACACACACCCUGGCUGUCCCAAGCCGUCCAAAGUGAUGCCCCAGAUAUUAUUAAUUUCGAUUCAAUUAUAGGGAUAUGGUAUUCCUUUUUCUUCCUUCCCUUCCCUUUUCUUUUUUUUGCUGACGAAUAUGCGCAAGGCAGCAUAUUGGCUAAAUAUUGUGGAUACUCUUCCUUAUCCUCUACUUUUGUAACUUGUCGCGAACUUGGACUUUUUGAAAUAUUUUGCUCUACAAAGAUAUCAAUUUUGAAAGGGGGGAAGGGAUCGAAAGGGCAGGAAUGGAGUGGGGUCUAGAUUUUAUGGUGGAUUAGGGGCAGGUUUCAACGGGUGCAUAUGUAUAUCUCACCGCCAUUAUCAGCGGGGAUAUCCUUUGACUGGAUGCACUUUGUACGAUUGUUUGUUGUUUAGAAUUAGGAG